RNAcentral lists this non-coding RNA (94 nucleotides) under Legionella quinlivanii. Its description in RNAcentral is "TPP sequence". It matches the Rfam family "TPP riboswitch aptamer (THI element)". From Rfam's summary of the family: Vitamin B(1) in its active form thiamin pyrophosphate (TPP) is an essential coenzyme that is synthesised by coupling of pyrimidine and thiazole moieties in bacteria. The previously detected thiamin-regulatory element, thi box was extended, resulting in a new, highly conserved RNA secondary structure, the THI element, which is widely distributed in eubacteria and also occurs in some archaea. Analysis of operon structures identified a large number of new candidate thiamin-regulated genes, mostly transporters, in various prokaryotic organisms. Lineage: Bacteria; Pseudomonadati; Pseudomonadota; Gammaproteobacteria; Legionellales; Legionellaceae. The record is from Rfam by way of RNAcentral.
ACAGAUGGCGCGGGGUGUCGUUAAAACGGCUGAGAAUUACCCGUCGAACUUGAACUGGUUCAUACCAGCGUAAGGACUGCCUCAAUUCAAAUUC